UCUGGUAGGAUUACGGGCUUUG
RNAcentral lists this small nuclear RNA (22 nucleotides) under Arabidopsis thaliana (thale cress). RNAcentral's name for it is "snRNA_12200". Lineage: Eukaryota; Viridiplantae; Streptophyta; Magnoliopsida; Brassicales; Brassicaceae. The record is from RNAcentral.